Molecule: ribosomal RNA, 387 nt
Filed under: uncultured bacterium
Lineage: Bacteria
Description: bacterial SSU rRNA
Rfam family: Bacterial small subunit ribosomal RNA
Source: RNAcentral
GGAAGGUCCGGGCGUUAUCCGGAUUUAUUGGGUUUAAAGGGAGCGUAGGCCGGANAUUAAGCGUGUUGUGAAAUGUAGAUGCUCAACAUCUGCACUGCAGCGCGAACUGGUUUCCUUGAGUACGCACAAAGUGGNCGGAAUUCGUGGUGUAGCGGUGAAAUGCUUAGAUAUCACGAAGAACUCCGAUUGCGAAGGCAGCUCACUGGAGCGCAACUGACGCUGAAGCUCGAAAGUGCGGGUAUCGAACAGGAUUAGAUACCCUGGUAGUCCGCACGGUAAACGAUGGAUGCCCGCUGUUGGUCUGAAUAGGUCAGCGGCCAAGCGAAAGCAUUAAGCAUCCCACCUGGGGAGUACGCCGGCAACGGUGAAACUCAAAGGAAUUGACGG